CCUACGGGUGGCAGCAGUGGGGAAUAUUGGACAAUGGGCGAAAGCCUGAUCCAGCCAUGCCGCGUGUGUGAAGAAGGCCUUCGGGUUGUAAAGCACUUUCAGUGGGGAAGAAAGCCUUGGGGCUAAUACCCUCGAGGAAGUACAUCACCCACAGAAGAAGCACCGGCUAACUCCGUGCCAGCAGCCGCGGUAAUACGGAGGGUGCGAGCGUUAAUCGGAAUUACUGGGCGUAAAGCGCGCGUAGGCGGUCUGAUAAGCCGGUUGUGAAAGCCCCGGGCUCAACCUGGGAACGGCAUCCGGAACUGUCAGGCUAGAGUGCAGGAGAGGAAGGUAGAAUUCCCGGUGUAGCGGUGAAAUGCGUAGAGAUCGGGAGGAAUACCAGUGGCGAAGGCGGCCUUCUGGACUGACACUGACGCUGAGGUGCGAAAGCGUGGGUAGCAAACAGGAUUAGAUACCCGAGUAGUC
Molecule: ribosomal RNA, 465 nt
Filed under: Vreelandella stevensii
Lineage: Bacteria; Pseudomonadati; Pseudomonadota; Gammaproteobacteria; Oceanospirillales; Halomonadaceae
Description: partial 16S ribosomal RNA
Rfam family: Bacterial small subunit ribosomal RNA
Source: RNAcentral